UACGUAGGCAGCAAGCGUUGUUCGGAAUUACUGGGCGUAAAGCGCGUGUAGGCGGGCGUGCAAGUCCGUUGGGAAAGCCCGCGGCUCAACCGCGGAAGUUCGCUGGAAACUGUGCUUCUUGAGGGUGGUAGAGGGAAGUGGAAUUGCUGGUGUAGCGGUGAAAUGCGUAGAUAUCAGCAGGAACACCCGUGGCGAAGGCGGCUUCCUGGAUCGCCACUGACGCUGAGACGCGAAAGCGUGGGGAGCGAACGGG
This 253-nucleotide ribosomal RNA is filed under the name uncultured bacterium. RNAcentral describes it as "partial 16S ribosomal RNA". It matches the Rfam family "Bacterial small subunit ribosomal RNA", at positions 524 to 776 of the family's 1533-position model. The record is from RNAcentral.